Molecule: ribosomal RNA, 465 nt
Filed under: uncultured bacterium
Lineage: Bacteria
Description: partial 16S ribosomal RNA
Rfam family: Bacterial small subunit ribosomal RNA
Source: RNAcentral
GACGAACGCUGGCGGCGUGCUUAACACAUGCAAGUCGAACGGAAAGGCCCUGCUUGCAGGGUACUCGAGUGGCGAACGGGUGAGUAACACGUGGGUGAUCUGCCCUGCACUUCGGGAUAAGCCUGGGAAACUGGGUCUAAUACCGGAUAGGAGCCAUUUUUAGUGUGAUGGUUGGAAAGUUUUUUCGGUGUGGGAUGAGCUCGCGGCCUAUCAGCUUGUUGGUGGGGUAAUGGCCUACCAAGGCGGCGACGGGUAGCCGGCCUGAGAGGGUGGACGGCCACAAUGGGACUGAGAUACGGCCCAGGAGUCUACGGGAGGCAGCAGGGGGGAAUAUUGCACAAUGGGCGCAAGCCUGAUGCAGCGAAGCCGCGGGGGGGAUGACGGCCUUCGGGUUGUAAACUCCUUUCGCUAGGUACGAAGCUUUUUGUGACGGUACCUAGAUAAGAAGCACCGGCUAACUACGUG